RNAcentral lists this long non-coding RNA (1153 nucleotides) under Homo sapiens (human). RNAcentral's name for it is "long non-coding RNA NONHSAT256587". The record is from RNAcentral. Lineage: Eukaryota; Metazoa; Chordata; Mammalia; Primates; Hominidae.
GUGGAGACUGUUACCUCAUACUGUAGACUCAGAUGUGUAGGAUAGGUUCAGAUCCAGCUGCCAAGCUCAAUUUGGAGUACCUGCCAUUCUUGGUACUGUUCAUUCUGAACUAUAGAUUUCUUUGUCUGCUUCUCUAAGACAUCUUUCUGGCUUGUAUUUAGUGCUUAGCACACCAAACCACUGUCCUUCAAUUAUGAUAACAGUGAAUCAUUUCUGUGUGCUUACUAUAUACCACGUAACUUAGUAUACAGCCUGUAACUCAUACAAGUUAAGAAUUUUUUUUCAUUUUGUCAUCACAACCAGUAGGUGAGGUACUUGCCUGCUUUUCUCACUAGCUCUGACCACCCCAAGAUCAUCCCUGCAUGCUUUUAUGACCACAACCCUUGCUGUUUCGUGGAUUGGCCUGAGUGUGAGCGGUUCCUGUCUUGUGUUCACUCUCUGCUCUGGAGAGUCAGCUGCUGUCAACAAGUUUUCUUCUCCACCACCUCUCCAAUUCAUCUUACCCAUACUCAGUACUUCCCUGGGCUGAAGCCAAGCUCUCCCAGGCAGCCUGGCUGGGAGCUUUGCAGUCAGGGGCUCCAACGACUUGUAGCAGUGAGCUGCUGAUACCACCCACUGUUCGCUGAUGAGGGAGCCACCACAGAAGUGCUAACCAGCAUUCAGGGACACCUGGUAGGGGAGAGAAUUCUCCUCACAGGUGUAGCCCCCAAUGAUCUUGUCAUCGUCGUCAAAGGGGACAGCAACUGGAGUGGAAAUAGGAAGGGAGAAGUCAGUAGUAUGUUAGGGGUGGCGCUCCCAGCCUGCGGUUGCUUCCUGCUAAUUAGAAAUCCUUAAUAAGCACAGUGAAGGCAGGCAAGAGAGGGAGCGCUGCCACCCCACCCCUGGUGAGCAUCACUGGAUGUGGCUCCCAAGUCUCUGUGUCUGCAGGGCACUUAGGUACCCUGCGGGGGUUCAGAUCUCCUUACAGCCCAGCCUGGGAAAUAUGCAGUGUCACCUCCACCACAAUCCAGCCAGCUCGGAUUCAAGCAAAGGGCACUCAUGGGAAGAUGACCACUGGCCAGUGUGUUUCAUCAGGCUGGCAUCUUUGAAGACCAGAUACCACACCGACCUCCAGUGAUCCAAAGUGCUGGGAUUACAGGCAUGAUACCACACC